CCGGGGCCCUUAAUGCUUCGUAAAGAAGCUUUGCGUUCUACGAAUCUUAAGAGACCCCAGGA
This 62-nucleotide microRNA precursor is filed under the name Octopus vulgaris (common octopus). Its description in RNAcentral is "Ovu-Mir-12558_pre stem-loop". Lineage: Eukaryota; Metazoa; Mollusca; Cephalopoda; Octopoda; Octopodidae. The record is from RNAcentral. RNAcentral also lists the same sequence under 1 other name.